GACGAACGCUGGCGGCGUGCCUAAUACAUGCAAGUCGAGCGAACCAAUAGAAGCUUGCUUCUAGAGGUUAGCGGCGGACGGGUGAGUAACACGUGGGCAACCUACCUGUAAGACUGGGAUAACUUCGGGAAACCGAAGCUAAUACCGGAUAAUUCUUCUUUACACAUGUAGAGGAGAUAAAAGACGGUUUCGGCUGUCACUUACAGAUGGGCCCGCGGCGCAUUAGCUAGUUGGUGAGGUAACGGCUCACCAAGGCAACGAUGCGUAGCCGACCUGAGAGGGUGAUCGGCCACACUGGGACUGAGACACGGCCCAGACUCCUACGGGAGGCAGCAGUAGGGAAUCUUCCGCAAUGGACGAAAGUCUGACGGAGCAACGCCGCGUGAGUGAUGAAGGUUUUCGGAUCGUAAAACUCUGUUGUUAGGGAAGAACAAGUACGAGAGUAACUGCUCGUACCUUGACGGUACCUAACCAGAAAGCCACGGCUAACUACGUG
RNAcentral lists this ribosomal RNA (496 nucleotides) under uncultured bacterium. Its description in RNAcentral is "bacterial SSU rRNA". It matches the Rfam family "Bacterial small subunit ribosomal RNA", at positions 28 to 507 of the family's 1533-position model. The record is from RNAcentral.